GUCGAUUAAUGUGCUUAUGCAGUCGGAGUGUAUUUGUGUGUGUGUGUCAUUGAAGCACACUUAUAAGGUGCUAGGAAAGUGGACUGAGGGGUGUGUGUGUGUGUGUGUGGGUGUGUGUGUGUGUGUGUGUGUGUGUGUGUGUGUGUGUGUGUGUGUGAGAGAGAGAGAGAGAGAGAGAGAGAGAGA
Silurus meridionalis is the source of this 186-nucleotide long non-coding RNA. RefSeq lists it as uncharacterized. Lineage: Eukaryota; Metazoa; Chordata; Actinopteri; Siluriformes; Siluridae. The record is from RefSeq and is a predicted model, not a curated record. The transcript is spliced from 3 exons.